UACGGAGGGUGCAAGCGUUAUCCGGAUUCACUGGGUUUAAAGGGUGUGUAGGCGGGCAAUUAAGUCAGUGGUGAAAUCUCCAGGCUCCAACCUGGAAACUGCCAAUGAUACUAUUUGUCUUGAAUACUGUUGAGGUGGGCGGAAUAUGUCAUGUAGCGGUGAAAUGCAUAGAUAUGACAUAGAACACCAAUUGCGAAGGCAGCUCACUAAGCAGGUAUUGACGCUGAGGCACGAAAGCGUGGGGAUCAAAACAGG
RNAcentral lists this ribosomal RNA (255 nucleotides) under uncultured bacterium. RNAcentral's name for it is "partial 16S ribosomal RNA". It matches the Rfam family "Bacterial small subunit ribosomal RNA", at positions 524 to 776 of the family's 1533-position model. The record is from RNAcentral.